Carassius gibelio (silver crucian carp) is the source of this 7313-nucleotide long non-coding RNA. RefSeq lists it as uncharacterized. The transcript has 3 exons. NCBI's taxonomy places the organism in Eukaryota, Metazoa, Chordata, Actinopteri, Cypriniformes, Cyprinidae. The record is from RefSeq and is a predicted model, not a curated record.
GAUACAUUUAAAGCAUAAAGGUAGUAAAGACAUCAUUAAAAUAGCCCAUGUGACAUCAGUGGUUCAAACUUAAUUUUAUGAAGCUACAAAAAUACUUUUUGUGCGCAUAGACAACAAAAAUUAUGAAAAAUAAUUUCUUCUCUUAAUUUUUUACAAUUUGUUGUCCAUUUAGUCAAUUUAGUUUUCAUGGUAUCAGUACUAAUUUAGUUAAUUUAAAUUCAUUUGUUUACUAGUGUCAGUUGAUUUGGCCUUCUAUCUUAGUUUUUUACAUCAAUUUGUUAAUUUUAGGUACAUUUUCUGUUAAUUUAGCUUUUUAAUUUUCAGUGGUGCUGAGCACGUUUAUGCACUAAUUCAUGUAAAUUAAAAUUGUUUAUUUGCAUAACUAAUUAAUAUUUUUUUUGAAUGCAUGUGUUUCUAUUUUGUUUUCGAUUCAGUUUAUUUUACAGAAGUUUUCACUGCAUUAUUGGGGUUUAUAAGGGCGUUUUUUGGAAGGGGGGGUCCUAUCUUUAUAGUUUUAGGUGGUGGUUGUUGUUUUAUUUUAUUUUAUUGAAAUUUUAGUAAUUUCAUGAUGCCAACUAGAUUUAAAGCUGGUGUGCUACAAAGGUUUUUUAUAUAUAUACAUAUAUACUUUCCAAUAUUAUAUAUUCAAUGUUUAACCUAUUAUUCUAUACAACAAUAUAUUUAAUAUAUUUAAUAUGCAUCUCCAUCCGUGUGUCAUUUUUGCAUAUAUCAUGUCUCAUCAUCUCAGUGCCAUUCUCAACUCUAUCUUGGUCUUAAUUCUUUCUCAGUCCCAUUUUUAUCCCAGUCUCAUCUCUAUCUCAACCCCAGUGCUGGACUCAUCUCUGUUUUUAGAAUUAAUUUAGAAACAAAAAAUACAAGAAAAAACUCCUUAAAUUAGAUUAAAUACAGCAUGCCUGUCUUUUAGGUCUGCUGAAUACAGGUAUUAUCUAAGUAACCUGCUCCUCCUCACUGCUUCAGCACAAAUCUCAGCUGUAAAUAGAUUCUCUGUUUUCCGGACUCCUCUGCACUGCUUACCCUGUGUGUUGAUUUCAAACACUGAUCUGAUCCAAUCUGCAGUCAGUACAAGCAGAGGGCAGUAGGACUCCUAGCAGCUGAUAACACAUCUCCCCUUGUUACCUCUGACCUGCACAGCUGCUUUAAAGCUUUAGUGGUGUGGCACACGGCUCCGGCUCUGUAAUGAUUUGGGCGCUAGGUAACAUUAUGAGAUCAGAGUGGUUUACUGUUACACUCACAUCACAUAAAACAGGAGAAACACGAUGGUCAGCCAGCCAUUGUUUAGUUUGACCCGUGUUGAUGAUCAGUGUGGUAAUCUGCUGGCAGAAUAGAGGAAAACUGGCAGAGCCGUCUUAUAGAAGGCCAGAGGCUGUGCAUAAACACACAAACUUAGUCAUCUCUGGCUUCUCCUAUCUCAUUAACAGCGGGUUUCUGGAGGUCCACAGCUCUCAGGCUGUUUAUGGGGUUUACAGCGAGGGCAAGAUUUGACGGAGCAGUACUAAAUGCAUAAAUCAAGCAUAUAAUAAAUGGCAAAUCUUGGAUAAAGUGUAGUCAAUCUGAGCGCCAGCACUAUGGGGAUAAAUGUAUCCCCAGAAGCUUGCUAAAUCGUAAAAAAAAAAAAUGAAUAUAUAUAUAUGAAAAUUAUAUUCUUUUACACACAAACACACACAUGUUUGUUUUUGUGAAAAGUGGGGACAUCCCAUAGGAGUGAUGGUUUUUAUACUGUACAAACUGUAUAUUCUAUGGCCCUUCACCAACCCUACCCCUAACCCUCACAGGAAACUUUGUACAUUUUUACUUUCUCAAAAAAACUCAUUCUGUAUGAUUUAUAAGCGUUUUGAAAAAUGGGGACAUGGGUUAUGUCCUCAUAAGUCAGCCUCUCCUUGUAAUAACUGUGUCGUACCCAUGUCAUUAUACAGAGUUGUGUCCUGAUAUGUCACAAAAACAAGAGCACACACACACACACAAACACACGAAUAUAUAAAAGUUUACUUUUAUGAAAAGGGUUGUAAUUUGAUUUACUCAAUAGUAAUUCGCUGUAUAUAAUAACUAUAGAUGACUGUAUUUUGUACCUACUGUAAGUUCGAUUGUACGAAAUAUAUUUGAGUGUAGAUGUCUCCAGGUUCGAUGUGCCUGCUGCAGGUAGCUGGUGAACUGAGCCGUGAUCAACGCAAGGUUUCUUGCAGGCCUGUGUGGACAGGAGGAGCCGCUGCUGGCCUUCAGGACUGGAAAGUAUGCGCUCUGUGGCCGCAGUCCCACCUCUCAGCCUGGGAACGGAAGCAGGGAGUUGCAAGGGAAAACAAGCAGACAAUCAGUGCCCUGGGCUUUGCAAUGGAUAGCUUUCCCCCACCCUCCUGCUCCGAACGGCAACCCCCACCCCCAGCGCUGAAACCCGGCCAGCCCCAGCUGUCUGUCCAGAUGUGGGAGAGAAGGAGAGGCAAGGUCCAACAAGGGAUGAGGGCCUGACACAGAAAAGGGCUCCAGAAAUAAUCGAGCAGAAAGAGAACCAAGACAGUGAAGAAGAUGGAGAGAUGUCAAGGGGAAGUCUGAAUUUGUUCCCAGGGUCUUUAAGAAAAAGGUGGACGAUAAAUGGAAAGUUGUCACAAAGGCUUAUAUUUAAUCUCCAGAUGGUUCCAAAUGAGAGGAUCAAUGACACCAGGCUAUGCCUACUUCGAAAAGUCAGCAUAAUCAAGUCUGAUCUCAUGAUCUCAGUGGACUGGAACAUGGCCUAUCCCAGAGAGUGCAGGCUUGGCAUAGUCGUAUCCAUUUAGUUGUUCAUGCUUGCCUGUGCAGGUCCUUCCAGGCCGGUCCUGAUUUAUGAACGGCCCCUGAGCUCUCACUCCAUCCUGGAGGGGCUCUCUGAUGGAGAAGAGAGGAUGUCCCAAACAGUUGGAAGGGAGCUUCAUCAGAGAAAAUAACUUUGCACCAAUCUUCUGCUGUCCAGUCCUUGUACUUCCUGCAGAAUUUGAGUCUGUCCCUCCAUUUUCUUGGAGAGAACUGGCUUCUUUGGUGCCCUUCUUGAUGCAGAACCUGAUUUUACCAAGUGAGACAUGUUCCUGGGACAACAUCUUUGUUGUCCCUGGAACAACAUUGUGAUUAAACAAUCAGAUUUGAAGAACCAGUUUAUAGGUUUUGUGAAGUUUAUGCUUAAAAUCACUGUUUGGUGCUUGUACGUCAGUGUCAUUCAUCUAUCAUUUCCUCUGAUUUUAGGGAUUACUCAUGGUUAAGGUUAGGUGUAGGUGUAGGGAUAUGGUCAAGAAUGCAUUUUUGAAGUAAAAUGUUGUUCCAGGGUCAACAAAAUAUUUUUAACUAGGAACACAUCUAACUCAGCAAAAUCAGGAAAUGCCUUCUUGACACCAGGCCAUUGUCCAAAAGUCUUGGCCUCACUAUGCAUACAAAUGCUCUUGCACCAACCUGCUGCCAUUCCUGAGUAAGCUGUGCACUGCUGGUGACUUGAUUCUGUAGCUGACUCCACAGGAGGAGACGGUCCUGGCGUUUGCUGGACACUCUGGGACAUCCUGAAGACUUCAUCGCUGCAGUAGAACCUCUCUCCUUGAAGUUCUUGAUGAUCUGGUAAAUGAUUCUUUCAGGUGCAUUAUUCUUUGUGGCAAUUUCCUUGCAUGAGAGUCCAUUUUGUUGCAAAGUUAUGAUGACUGCAUGUGUGUUUUUUUAAGGUAACAUUACUAACAAGAACAUAAUGAUUGGAAGUGCUUCUUCCAUCCUUUUAUACCAAUCAGUCUGCUCUUACAAUCUAUUUAGUAUGAUAAUUAUUUUACCUGACUAGUACUCAUUCCCACAUUCACAUGUGCUGCUGAAAUAAUUAUUCAAUUAAUGUUAGCUGGUCAUUUUGUGUCAGGAUUUAUCUUUAUUUUUAUUUUAUAUUUGUAAAAAGUUAAUUUUUGGCCAAUGAAGCUUUUGGCAGUUAUUUAAAAUGCACCUGGUCACUCUACACUAUAAUCUAUAAACAAUGUGAAUGAACACCACAACAGCUUAAGCAGCAAACUUUGCAAAACACAAAAUUAAUGUCACUGCCAAAACGUUUGGCCAUGACUAUACUCUAAACAUCUAUCUAAACAAGGAGAGAGGACGAGUUCUCCAUGAACUUGGUCUUAAUCCUACUGUAAUGAGUUGGGUCAUGUUACAUCUAGUGCCCGAGCCCCCCACAGAGCAUGACAUCACAGUACAAGAUAAGGCCGGGAAUGCGGCAGGUCCUGCCACACGCAGCAUGCGAGAUGCAACCCUCGACACGUACGACACACACCGUGCCGCCGGGAAACACAGGGACACAAGCGGCACGGGCUUGAUGGACAAACCAGACCGCCGCACACACAUGCACAUUCUUGCGAGAGGAAAAUGGUAACAGUCAGUCCUGUGCAGCAAAAUAGAACAUUGCACCUUCAUUGUUCUGGCCUCUGGACUCUGGCCUUGCUUCCUGACACCUUCCGUUUGGGCUCGCACACAGAUGGCCAUGGAUGUACAAGAACAAGUGCGCCCACUCCGCCUGUCCAGACCCAAAUAGAGAGGUAUAGACGAUCAUAUGUGGCCAAGGAGAGGUUAAGGACUUCUUGGUAACCUGGUGUGUGUGGUGCUAUUAAUGUAACACUGCCUGUAGCCUCAAAUUGUAUUAAUCCCUUUUUAUCCCAUGCAGGGAGCAUUCUAUAUCAGGAAAACUCAUGGAGACACUUAAUGCGUCUGUUUUUAUAUAAGUUUGUGAGGAGUCGCGGGGGUGUCACUGUCUGACAGGAUGCAUGGGUCAACUGUCUACGUGUGAGUGCAGCCGGGCCUGGGCCAGCAGGUCAGGGUUGGGCAGCCCACAGGAAACAGCCAAGACAUUCUGGCCCAGUGCAGGGGGACUUAACCCUUGAACUGCCAGCUUAGCUGUGGUCUUACUGUUGCCGGAACUGUGACUCCCAAACGAAUACUUCACCCCAAAAAAUAUAAUUCUGAUAAAAAAAUAAAUACAAAUGUUAAAUAUGUGUAUCUAAAUAUACUUCUGCAACACCAUAAUUACGUACCUUCCUGCACGUUUCAUGGCAGUUUCAAAGUGAAAUGUCCAGAGAGUGGCGCUAAAACACACGUUCAAUACGUCACUGUGGCACAUUUUUAUUACAUUGGUACAGGUAUUGCUGUGUUUUUAUUAAGCUGCUUGAGUUACCUAUUGUGGCUAAUGCUCUAUCGUGUUGGAAAUGUGCCCUACAUCAGUGGGGAAGUCGUGGACCAAUUGUUAGAGAUUCAGACUUGUAAUCCAAAGGUUGUGAGUCCGAGUCUUGGGCCGGCAGAAACAGUGACUGUACAGCACUCUCUCCACUCUCAAUACCACGACUGAGGGCACCGAACCCCCAACUGUGUGUUCACAGCUGUAUGUGUGCACUUUAGAUGGGUUAAAUGCAUAACACGAAUUCCAAGUACUUGGCUGUAUGUCACUUCACUUUCACUUUUUUACACCAUAUCCAACCCUAAAACCUACCCGAUAGUGUUAACAAAUGCAAAAGUGUUAAUAAAAACACAUUUGUUGAUGCAGCCGUGUUAUUUUAACUUCCUUGUGUGGAUUUGCGCUGUUUUGUCAAACCGGAGUUUCACAGUGUUCAUAUCGGGGCAAUGCUGUAUCGCGUGAGCUACCGAGCAAACCUACUGAAUUAGAAAACUCAUGCAAAUGAAGCUGUAUGUCACAACAAUAUUCAAAAGUAUCAGUUUUGAAAUUGUGCAGGAUUUUAAAAUAGUUUUGAAGUCAUAACAUAAUAUUCUGAAAGUAAUUGUGGGACAAUUAUGCUUUAUUAUUUAAAACUUUGAACCUGUAAAUCAUACUUUGUAUGAAAAGGAAUAAAAGAAUUUCAACUGGAAACUGAAGUGAUUCUUCCUAAUAUGCUAGAAAUCAUUCUAAUAUGCAAAUGGUUUUUCAGGAUUCUUGGAUGAAUAGAAAGUUCAAAAGAACAGUUCUAUUGUAAUUUAACAUCCUAGUCACCUCAAACCUUUGAACGGUAUUAUGCAAUAGCAUACUGUAGCAUUCAUGUAUCCAUAAUCACAGGAACAAACAAAAGUCCUCAUAGGAAUGUUUGGCAUUUUCUUUCUAAAUUUAGUCUCUUUUAGUGCUCCUCCUCACCCUGGGUGUGACAGUCCAGCCUUUCAGACUGGAAACAAUGUGGAGCAGCACCUUCAUCAUGUAACGAAGCACCUCUGUGUCUCCUGCCAUGAAGACUCCUUCUCCCUGCAACCGCCUUGCAGUAAGGAAGGGUCUAUAGUGUGCCUGUGGCCACGAGGACACUACGCACUGGAAUACGGGGACAGGAAAUGACUCUCAGAGUGUAGGAAUUCUGUGACGGCGGGGGUCUGAGGGAAAGGUUGACGUUUUCGGAAAGGCAGCUAUGUCGUGAUUUGCCAUUGACAGCAUGCAGAACACAUUUACGUUGUUCCGCUUAAUGGGUUUUUAAAAAUAGGUCACAGAUGAGUCACUCGCAUCAGUGGUGCAGGAUAGACGUCUGCUUACUUCCUGGUGCCACACAGAGGGCAUCGCUGCUCAAGACCCCCCUAGAUAGUGGGCUAAACUUAAGCAGGGCCCAUCCUGUUUUGGGAUUCUGCUGUAACCUUGAGCAUUUCGACUUUCCUGCAUCUCUUCAAAACAGUCAGCUGUUAUCAUUCCAGCAUCGUGUUUGUACCCCACACCACAAUGCUAGCUGGUCGCUCUGAUACUUUACCCUGCAUCUGUUUGUGUCUGAGGGAGACGUUCUUGACUGUAAAAUGUGUGCGUUGUCAUCCAUCUUAACAAUGGCUGCGUUCCAACUCUCAGCUUUAGCCAGUGAGGGCUUUCUUGGUUUCACAUCCCUCUUCAGCCAAACACAAACACACACGUCCGGCCAGCCUGACCCGAGCUAUCUCUCCUCCUGCAAGUGCCAGACGCACACACAUACACACACGCCCUGGACCCUCCAGCUCUUCCCACGUUCCUCCUCUCCCUCUUUCCUCUGUUCUUCUCUCUCUUCUCUGCUUGCGUUUCCUUCUCUCCCUUCCUCUGCCUCAGCACCCUUGUACAUCUCAUUGUCUCUGGUCUCUUCAUCUUUCUCCACUUCCUGUGUCUUGCACCCCGUGCCCUCUCACGCCCCCUCUUUCAAGCUCCCCCUGUUUCUCUCCACAUCUAUCUCUCUUCGCGACGUGACUUUUAGCACAGACAUUGGGGCUGUUGCCAGUAAUCUGGGGCAGAGAGAUGAGCGGACAAACGCACACACAUACAGACACAUGCAGAUAUAAUAGGGCACACUCUAAUGUUUCUUCAAUAAACACUCCAUAGGUAUUUUACAUCAGCU